Molecule: long non-coding RNA, 409 nt
Filed under: Equus caballus (horse)
Lineage: Eukaryota; Metazoa; Chordata; Mammalia; Perissodactyla; Equidae
Description: lncRNA (ENSECAG00000052477.1)
Source: RNAcentral
UGCCCAAUCCUGCUUCCUUCCCUUCCCUUCCAAGAGUAUUCCCUCCUCAGCUUCCUGCAUGCCAAUCUGACCCUUAAAGUUAGCUUCCAAGCUGCCAUAGCCACGGUCAGGUAACCUAGGAUGGUGAGAAAAAGGUUUUGCUCUUUUGGUUUCCAAGCAAUUAGAUGCUUCCAUGUCACCUAGUUACCUAGAGUAGUUGGCCUACGUGAAAGGAAGAGAAGUCAUCCCUCAAAAAGUGUCAAGAUUGAGAUAUGUGGAGACAACUGGAGAAAUUCAUUUGACUAUCUUUCAAAUUGGUACAAUCAUAGGAUUGACUGGGAAUUUGCAAACAUUGGUGCAAGGCUAUCCUGUAGCUUUCUAUCUAUUUUCCUCGCUAACAAAUCCUCAAAUUGCUUCAAAAGCAAACUGC